RNAcentral lists this ribosomal RNA (468 nucleotides) under uncultured bacterium. RNAcentral's name for it is "partial 16S ribosomal RNA". It matches the Rfam family "Bacterial small subunit ribosomal RNA", at positions 28 to 507 of the family's 1533-position model. The record is from RNAcentral.
GACGAACGCUGGCGGCGUGCUUAACACAUGCAAGUCGAACGGAAAGGCCCUGCUUUUGUGGGGUGCUCGAGUGGCGAACGGGUGAGUAACACGUGAGUAACCUUCCCUUUACUUUGUGAUAACUUCAGGAAACUGGGGCUAAUACCGGAUAGGAGCUCCUGCUGCAUGGUGGGGGUUGGAAAGUUUCGGCGGUUGGGGAUGGACUCGCGGCUUAUCAGCUUGUUGGUGGGGUAGUGGCUUACCAAGGCUUUGACGGGUAGCCGGCCUGAGAGGGUGACCGGCCACAUUGGGACUGAGAUACGGCCCAGACUCCUACGGGAGGCAGCAGUGGGGAAUAUUGCACAAUGGGCGGAAGCCUGAUGCAGCAACGCCGCGUGCGGGAUGACGGCCUUCGGGUUGUAAACCGCUUUCGCCUGUGACGAAGCGUGAGUGACGGUAAUGGGUAAAGAAGCACCGGCUAACUACGUG